This 316-nucleotide ribosomal RNA is filed under the name uncultured eukaryote. Its description in RNAcentral is "partial 18S ribosomal RNA". It matches the Rfam family "Eukaryotic small subunit ribosomal RNA", at positions 1470 to 1796 of the family's 1831-position model. The record is from RNAcentral.
CCCUUAGAUGUUCUGGGCUGCACGCGCGCUACACUGAAGGACUCAACGUGCUUGUCUCCUUGGCCGUCAGGUCUGGGUAACCCGUUGAACCUCCUUCGUGCUAGGGAUUGGGGCUUGUAAUUAUUCCCCAUGAACGAGGAAUUCCCAGUAAGCGCGAGUCAUCAUCUCGCGUUGAUUACGUCCCUGCCCUUUGUACACACCGCCCGUCGCACCUACCGAUUGAAUGGUCCGGUGAAGCCUCCGGAUUGGCGCGCACCUCGGUGCCGCCGAGAAGUUGGCUAAACCUUACCAUUUAGAGGAAGGUGAAGUCGUAACA